Molecule: long non-coding RNA, 5443 nt
Organism: Oncorhynchus nerka (sockeye salmon)
Lineage: Eukaryota; Metazoa; Chordata; Actinopteri; Salmoniformes; Salmonidae
Exons: 2
Source: RefSeq, a predicted model, not a curated record
CCCUGUUUGAAGUAGUUUGGUGUGCAUGUUUCCUAUUCAAAGUAACGGAAGAAAAGGGUUAUAAAGGUACACAUUGAAUGAAAUGACUACUGUAUAAACUCCAAUGUACAUAUUUAUGCGUCGCUUACCACUAAUGUGAUGGGGAUUCGGAGACACUGGCAUUUUAGAUCCUGCAGAGAAAAGACCUGAGCCCUAGGACCAUGCCUCAGGACUACCUGACAUGAUGACUCCUUGCUGUCCCCAGUCCACCUGGCUGUGCUGCUGCUCCGGUUUCAACUGUUCUGCCUGUGAUUAUUAUUAUUUGACCAUGCUGGUCAUUUAUGAACAUUUGAACAUCUUGGCCAUGUUCUGUUAUAAUCUCCACCCACCCGGCACAGCCAGAAGAGGACUGGCCACCCCACACAGCCUGGUUCCUCUCUAGGUUUCUUCCUAGGUUUUGGCCUUUCUACAGAGUUUUUCCUAGCCACCGUGCUUCUACACCUGCAUUGCUUGCUGUUUGGGGUUUUAGGCUGGGUUUCUGUACAGCACUUUGAGAUAUCAGCUGAUGUACGAAGGGCUAUAUAAAUACAUUUGAUUUAAUUUGCAUGUAUCGUUUAUACUUGUGUUCAGUGUAGCUAUCUCCGUCUAUGAACACCUGUGUUUAAAUGGAAGACAGUCACCACAAAUGUGUCACUGAAAAAUACUUUUGGCUGCAACUGUGUUAAAACCGGUUAAAACAGUGUACAGUAAGUGUGUAUUUUGCGUUUGUAAAAUAAUUUUGAUAUAUGAAAGUAGAGGGAUUUAUGACUAGAACCAUACCACAAUUGAGAAUCAAUUCAAGUUUAGAUGGAGUGUUUUGCUUUUUUGGCAACUAGAGCCAAUUCGCCCUUUAAACAGAACAUGUAAGGUCCUUGGACUAACACCAAAACUAAACCGUCUGUGCGCGUGCGCCAUCAUGCAUAAAUGUAUUUUGUCAACCCACAACAAACACGAUCACGAUACGCAGAUUAAAAUAUCAAAACAAACUGAACCAAUUACAUUAAUUUGGGGACAGGUCGAAAAGCAUUCAACAUUUAUGGCAAUUUAGCUAGCUUGCACUUGCUAGCUAAUUUGUCCGAUUUAGCUAGCUUGCGGUUGCUAGCUAAUAUAUCCUGGGAUAUAAACAUUGAGUUAUUUUACCUGAAAUGUACAAGGUCCUCUACUCUGACAAUUAAUCCACACAUAAAACGGUGAACCCAAAUCGUUUCUAGUCACCUCUCCUCCUUCUGGGCUUUUUCUUCUCUUAACUUAAUAUUGCGAUUGGCAACUUUCAUAAAUUAGCUGCAUUACCGCCACUGACCUCGUUCAUCUUUCAGUCACCCAUGUGGGUAUAACCAAUGAAGAGAUGGCACGUUGGUACCUACUUCUAUAAACCAAUGAGGAGAUGGGAGAGGCAGGACUUGCAGCGCGAUCUGCGUCACAAAUAGAACUGACUUCUAUUUUAGCCCUUGGCAACGCAGACGCUCGUUGGCACGAACGAGCAGUGUGGGUGCAAUAAUUGAAUAAUAUAGAUUUCCACAUUUAUUUUGCAACGUGAGUGGUGUAGUCAGCCUGUAAGGAGUAAAGUUAGGCUCCUUUAGUCCAAUAUUGGGCUAGGCCUUUCAUACACUCUGUCUGUCUUUCUAUGGAUGUAAUGUCUGUGGGUGUAUUAUGAAACUAUUAGUGUAUGCAGAUGAGCAAAAAAAUGGUGCUGUAGAUUUGUUUUUGCCAUUGCUUGAUAUAUUUUAAAUGUGAGAAUAUGUUGCACUUUUAAGUUGAAUUGGUGCCUAUGAAAAAAAUGUGAAAUGUAAUGAACAAUGUUUUCAAUAUCCAACUUAUUCCUCUGCAAUACUUUUUACAGUAGGUAACAGGUGGAAAAAGUUCUCAAUUGUCAUUCUUGAGAAAGUAAAGAUACUUUAAUAUAAAAUGACUAAAGUAAAAGUAACCCAGUAAAAUACUACUUGAGUAAAAGUAUCAGAUUUCCACCAGAUCAGGGGCAGUAGGGAUGACUAGGGACAUUAUCUUGAUAAGUGUGCGAAUUUGACCUUUUUGCUAAGCAUUCAAAUUGUAACUAAUACUUUUGAGUGUCAGGGAAAAUGUAUGGAGUAAAAAGUACAUCAUUUUCUUUAGGAAUGUAGUGAAGUAAAAUUAAAAGUAGUUAAAAAUAUAAAUAGUAAAGUACAGAUACCCCCAAAAACGACUUAAGUGAAAAUACUUAAGUACUUUACACCACUGAGUAAAAAGCUGUAGUCAGGUGGUCAUUACCAGGUUAUGAUGAGGUUUUAACUAUGACCAGUACAUCAUAUAGCCCAUAAUAAAGUGGUCAGGAUUAUGACCAGCUUGGUCAUAUGGCGGUUAGAGAAAGACCUCAUAAAAACGUCAUUUUUCAACCAGUUUGCGACUGACAUCUUUUCAACCAGGUUCUGCCCACUGGGUCACCUGAUAAGUAUGCGUGCAUGAGCAUUGCAAAAUAAGUUGACAUGUUAUUCAAUCAUUUCCCCCACACCGCUUGCGCUCGUGUAUGCGUAACCAAGGGCUAAAAUAGAACUUGGUUUUAUUUGAGGCGCUGCAAGUCCCCUCCUUAUUGGAUAGCAAGUCCACUCCUUACUGGAUAUCAGGAAGAUACAAGCCCACAUGGAUGCUUGAAAGACAAUCAAGGAGAGAUUAAUUAAAGAUAAACUAAACUAAAAAUGUACUUUUUCCCUCUUUUAUCUGUGGAUUAAUCGUUGGAGUAGAGAAGCACAGCUUUGUAUGACUCCAGGUCAAAAUUCUACAAAGAACCAGCUAAAAAGAGGACCAUAUUCAUGUCAGAUUAAAUAACCACCCAAUUUACAUCUUCCAGGUAAAUGUAUGGACAUUUGCUUUCUGGCCCGGGCGUCAGUCAAACUGCAGUACUGAAGCAAGACUAAAGAAUCAGUCGAAACAGUGCUUCUAGACGGGAACCCGAGCCCCUUGGUGUGGAUCAGGGAUGGACAACUCCAGUGUGUUAGCUGGGCCUGGGGCAAAUGUGUGACACCCUACAGGCCCCGGAGGACUGAAGUUUCCCCAUCCCUGAAAUAGAUGAUUGUUGCGACUGUCAAUGAAAAGUAGAGGCCAAGCCUGGCAUAUUGCAAUAUUUCAAAAUACAAUCGCGGGAAAACAUAGUUCAGAAUGCAAAUGGCUAGAGGGAAAAUGGUAAAGAGAAGACAAUGGAAAUACCUAUUCCUCUUCUCAACUUAAUUUAGCGAACAGUAGGCUAUAGCCUAUCAUACUGGCACCAUGCAGCAAAGCGCAUCGGUCAUAUCCCCGGUGAGCACUCAUAUUCAUUCUAUAUCAUUGUUGGGUCAGUGCCACAUAAAAGUUUGUUUUUGGAUGGACAUCAUACUGUAUUUGUGUCUCCCCUUCUCGUCAACCUAUUAUAGGGACCAGACAAUGUCGUUUUUAUAGAUAUGUUUGUCAGUGUCAGCAGAGUAGGCUUCCCUGUAAUCAGUGGAGGCUGGUGACUAGAACCAUUUAGGAGGAUGGGAGACCCACAGUAUAGGGGCAGAAUGCACAGAGAUGACAAAGUGUAUUUCAAAAAUAGUCAAAGACUAAUUCUUUUAAACUAAAGCAUUUAAUAAAGACAUUUAAAAUACAAUAUUAUGGGGAAUAGGAAUGAGAGGUCGCCUUACACCAUUUUGGAAAGGGAUCACAGCAGUGAUUGAAUGACGGUAUGAGGCAUGAGUUGUGUUCAGAGGCUUGACCAAUGCAGGACAGGAUUUGACUGGGAAGACAAAAAAAUAUAAGACAACACACUAUACAGUUAGACAAAAGAGCUAAGAAUGAGUUAGUCCAAGCAAGGAGUAAAAUCAUUGAUAUGUAAUAAUGUGACUGUGUAAGUGAUUGACUCUACAUGCAGUAAUGAGAGAAAAUUGAUAGGGUACUCACAGUGCUUGGAGGGGAAACAUUCAAUGUGCCAGUGGAUGAGCAGGCACAUGAGACUUGGCUUCAGUUCAUGCCAAAAGAAAGUUGACAAUGGUAGUGGAGGGGACUUAGCUGUAAAUACAAAUGGCAGAUACAUUCCAUUACAGCAGCGCCAUCAUAGAUUUGGACAACGAGUUUCUCUAUGAACUUUUUAAUUUUUAAUUUCACCUUUAUUUAACCAGGUAGGCUAGUUGAGAACAAGUUCUCAUUUACAACUGCGACCUGGCCAAGAUAAAGCAUAGCAGUGUGAACAGAUAACAACACAGAGUUACACAUGGCGUAAACAAUAAACAAGUCAAUAACACAGUAGAAAAAAAAGAAUCUAUAUACAUUGUGUGCAAAAGGCAUGAGGAGGUAGGCAAAUAAUUACAAUUUAGCAGAUUAACACUGGAGUGAUAAAUGAUCAGAUGGUCAUGUGCAGGUAGAGAUACUGGUGUGCAAAAGAGCAGAAAAGUAAAUAAAAACAGUAUGGGGAUGAGGUAGGUGAAUUGGGUGGGCUAUUUACCGAUCGGUUAGCUGCUCAGAUAGCAGAUGUUUAAAGUUGGUGAGGGAGAUAAAAGUCUCCAACUUAAACUCAGACAUCUCAAAAUUCAUAAAGUCAAACGCAGAUUGCGCAUCUCGCCCACUUGACACAUUAAAGUAGCCCAAGAAACGUUCCUGAAUAAAGCCCUGACCAGCCACAUACCUGAAGAUAACUGACAACUGCAAGCAAACUGGUGCAGGUCCCAGAGCGGUGGGGCAAUUUUUAACAGUUGUAGAGACUGAAAAAUUGUCUCGUUUUCAUCCGAUACAGCAUGUCAGAUUCCUAAUGUUUAGGUGUAGCCUAGGCUGCUGCAACAUCUGUCAUGCAUUUUUGCUUGUGUCUGUCCGGAGUGAUUAAGUGUUAUCCUCUUUGCUUAAUAAAUACCGGAAGAAAGUGGAAAGCCUACCUGAGCCCACGCGAAAAAAAGCCCUGGGUCAACUUCUCUGUAAUAUAACUUUUAAUGGACGAGGCGAUGGAAGAUAUCAAAUCAUUCGGAAUGGUUUUCAACAUCCCAGAAAAGACAGUCGAAAGUUCCAUAUGUUCAGCAAGUAAAGCAUCAUAAUGUGCAAUUACCUCUGCAAGCUCUUGUUAACGGAACUUUUCAUAUCGUAGUGUCCACCUAAAAUAAAAUUAUUGCAUUCCCUGCUUUUGUUUUUUCGUUUAGCUGAACCAUCAAUGUUCUUCAGGUAGGGCUGGGCGAUAUGGCCAAAAUGUAAUUUUUAACCAAAUGUUGCAAUUGCGAUUUAGAUCAAAACACUUGGGUGAACUUUUGGAAUCAUGGAAAUAGAAUGUUUAUUCUUAUUCUAUAGUUAGAAUAUAAAUAAUAGUGGCCACUUUGAAUACAGUGUUGUUUGACAUGACAACGAAUGAAAAUGCCAUGGACGAGUUGUGACAGGUUAGGAACAAAAGUGAUGUUCAGUGUUUCCUAGGGGACCAUAUAAUCUUUGCCUACAUUAAAUCUUUAUUCAUGUAGCCAACAUA